CCUACGUGAGGCAGCAGUGGGGGAUAUUGGGCAAUUGGCGCAAGCCUGACCCAGCACCGCCGCGUGAAGGAAGAAGGCUUUCGGGUUGUAAACUUCUUUUCUCAGGGACGAAGCAAGUGACGGUACCUGAGGAAUAAGCCACGGCUCACUACGUGCCAGCAGCCGCGGUAAUACGUAGGUGGCAAGCGUUAUCCGGAUUUACUGGGUGUAAAGGGCGUGUAGGCGGGACUGCAAGUCAGAUGUGAAAACCACGGGCUCAACCUGUGGCCUGCAUUUGAAACUGUAGUUCUUGAGUACUGGAGAGGCAGACGGAAUUCCUAGUGUAGCGGUGAAAUGCGUAGAUAUUAGGAGGAACACCAGUGGCGAAGGCGGUCUGCUGGACAGCAACUGACGCUGAGGCGCGAAAGCGUGGGGAGCAAACAGGAUUAGAUACCCGUGUAGUC
Molecule: ribosomal RNA, 443 nt
Filed under: uncultured bacterium
Lineage: Bacteria
Description: partial 16S ribosomal RNA
Rfam family: Bacterial small subunit ribosomal RNA
Source: RNAcentral